UACUUUCCAGGUACUAUGGUUCAGUUCAGUAACAGGUUUGGAGGAGCAUUAAAGGAGGAUCUCAACGACAGGUGCAAUGGAGCCCUCUAUGAAAGUGCCAGAAAUACCCAAGAGAAUGAGCAGACACACAGCCCCGGGCAGGACGAAAACAAUGCUGAAGUUGAUAACUCUGUGGAGAGGAUCCCUGAAGAUCUGGCUGGGAGAGUGUGCUAUGAGCUAGAACCACUAGUUUUCCCUUGAUAACUAAAUGCAUCAAGUAAUGAAGAAUGUUGUGCAAUUUCACAAAACGUGAAAAGUUUGGGUGGUUAAGUCUGCUGCAUCUUUAACGACAGCCAACAAUGGUGUCACAGUGUAUCGGUGACUAGCUGAUGAUCUGUUGCUCUUUCAGGAAGACCAGGUUUAAGUGUGUUUUUACACAACAUUUUAUUUUUUUAAUCUACACACUUCCUCAAAUAUAUGCUGCAUUCUUUGCUUUAUUCCUGUUGUGGCUUACAUUUGACAGAGAGAUUCUAUUGAUCAGAAAGCUUAGAUCGACUGACCUGCAGGAGUAGGCUGAUUACAUUGUCUUUGCAUUCUAUGGUAAUUAGCUUUAUUUGGUGUAUGUGAAUGCAGACCAAUACAUAUAUAUUUCUUACCACGCUUACACCUUUUUGGUUGGCAGAGUUUUUGAUGAUUUGACCCUGCUGGGGGAAAAUGUGCCCAAUUGUUACCAAACACUGCCAAGAUAUGUGAACUAUCAAAUACAUGAAUAUGUUUUAUCAAUCAUCAUCAGUAAUUGUUAUAACAAAUUAUUCAGCAUAACCUGUACAAUAAAAGAGGAACUGAAUGUA
Gymnodraco acuticeps is the source of this 830-nucleotide long non-coding RNA. RefSeq lists it as uncharacterized. The record is from RefSeq and is a predicted model, not a curated record. Lineage: Eukaryota; Metazoa; Chordata; Actinopteri; Perciformes; Bathydraconidae. The transcript has 2 exons.